This 506-nucleotide ribosomal RNA is filed under the name uncultured bacterium. Its description in RNAcentral is "partial 16S ribosomal RNA". It matches the Rfam family "Bacterial small subunit ribosomal RNA", at positions 30 to 523 of the family's 1533-position model. The record is from RNAcentral.
AUUGAACGCUGGCGGUAUGCUUAACACAUGCAAGUCGAACGGCAGCAUGGUCUAGCUUGCUAGACUGAUGGCGAGUGGCGGACGGGUGAGUAACGCGUAGGAAUAUGCCUUGAAGAGUGGGACAACUUGGGGAAACUCAAGCUAAUACCGCAUGUACUCGAGAGAGUAAAGCUGGGGACCUUUAGGCCUGGCGCUUUAAGAUUAGCCUGCGUCCGAUCAGCUAGUUGGUAGGGUAAAGGCCUACCAAGGCGACGAUCGGUAGCUGGUCUGAGAGGAUGAUCGGCCACACUGGAACUGAGAGACGGUCCGGACUCCUACGGGAGGCAGCAGUGGGGAAUAUUGGACAAUGGGGGGAACCCUGAUCCAGCAAUGCCGCGUGUGUGAAGAAGGCCUGAGGGUUGUAAAGCACUUUCAGUGGGGAGGAGGUUUGGAAGGUUAAGAGCUAUUCAAAUGGACGUUACCCACAGAAGAAGCACCGGCUAACUCCGUGCCAGCAGCCGCCGUAA